AGCGAACGCUGGCGGCAGGCCUAACACAUGCAAGUCGAACGAACUCUUCGGAGUUAGUGGCGGACGGGUGAGUAACACGUGGGAACGUGCCUUUAGGUUCGGAAUAACUCAGGGAAACUUGUGCUAAUACCGAAUGUGCCCUUCGGGGGAAAGAUUUAUCGCCUUUAGAGCGGCCCGCGUCUGAUUAGCUAGUUGGUGAGGUAAAGGCUCACCAAGGCGACGAUCAGUAGCUGGUCUGAGAGGAUGAUCAGCCACAUUGGGACUGAGACACGGCCCAAACUCCUACGGGAGGCAGCAGUGGGGAAUCUUGCGCAAUGGGCGAAAGCCUGACGCAGCCAUGCCGCGUGAAUGAUGAAGGUCUUAGGAUUGUAAAAUUCCUUCACCGGGGACGAUAAUGACGGUACCCGGAGAAGAAGCCCCGGCUAACUUCGUG
Molecule: ribosomal RNA, 433 nt
Filed under: uncultured bacterium
Lineage: Bacteria
Description: partial 16S ribosomal RNA
Rfam family: Bacterial small subunit ribosomal RNA
Source: RNAcentral